Molecule: long non-coding RNA, 1558 nt
Organism: Oxyura jamaicensis (ruddy duck)
Lineage: Eukaryota; Metazoa; Chordata; Aves; Anseriformes; Anatidae
Exons: 3
Source: RefSeq, a predicted model, not a curated record
UUUCCUGUUUCCUUAGAAAAUGCUAUUUUUGUGUUCUCAUUCCUGUAAGUAAACUCAUUUUGUGCACUAGUCCCUGAAGGCAAAUACAGCAAAAGCAUUGUUUCCUCUAUGCAAAUAAAUGCAUCAUACAUUUAGGCAUUUUUAAUAUCUUAAUUGUAUAAAUUUCGGGCACAUUUCUGUUUUGUUCCAUCAGUGUUCCAUACAGCCUAUUUUGACACCUUUUCUUUGUGAUGCAGAAGCUUUGUGUAACUGGUAGGGUAAAAAACCUUAUUGCACCCAUCUGAGACUGGAUGAUACGCAGGUGAACGUCAGCCUGGCUUCAUUUGGUGCAGGGAGCACAGGUGGAAGGGAGGGAUGCUGCCCUGGAGCAAGGGGACAGGAAGAGAAGUGCUCCAGAUUUCUAGCAAUGAGAAAUUCUAAUGAAUGUUAUUCCUUUUUUCUUUCUUUUUUUUUUUUUUUUUUUUUCCAGAAUUAUUCUUUAGAAUUUUCUGCUCUGACUGCUUAUAAAGACACUAAACAAAAUGCAGUUUGUCCUUGAAAAUUCUGGCUAAGCAGUUGUAAAAUCCAUUUGUUUUUGGAAAAAAAUCAUAGAACAAGGGUUCUCACGCUGGGACUCCUGACAAAAUAGACAUUUACUGACAGCACGUAAGAUCUAUUGGGCAAACGCAGACUUCGAGUUCAAAUUGAGCAUGUUACUAAGGGUCUGGUGUAAGGCCCAGUGCAAUCCCUAAACAUGGCCAAAGUGAGAGACUGGGUGAUGCACCGACAUAGCUGAGAUUUUGAAGUGCACGCAGUAUAUUUAUUCUGAAGCAGGUUAUGCUGUAUAUGCUUGUUAGAGGGUGCAAAAAGAGGAAAUGGCAGAGCUGGCCAGUCAUGCCAAGGAGUCUAGUGCAACUUAAAUGUGUGUGCCGAGCCUUGUGCAGGAGCAGAGCACAAUUUCAUAUUGCUUAGCAACACUGCUGCUUACAUUUCCCAUUUCCUUCCAUGUCGAAAGCCGGUGAGCAGCAAACGUGCGUUUCUGGUGGCUUCCUGCUGAUGUGAAGGCAGCGGGCAGUGCAUCCAGGGGCAGGGGUGGGACGGCACGGGGAAGGGGUGUCGGGCAGCAUCGCUUUACCACCCGCAGCACUUUUCCGUCUGAAAAUGGAAAGCCUUUACUAAUUGAGAAGCUGCCUUCUGCUCCGUGUUGUCUUCUGCUAUAAGGGAGGUUACUGCAUGUGUUGGAAGGCAGGGAACAGAUUUCUCAAGAUGCUUUUGGCACAGGUACCCUAUGCCUAGCCUGAAAAUACAGCUCUUCAGCACUGGAGGAAUGGUGGUGUUAAGCAGAGCUGCACGGUGUUUCCUUCUCUGUGACAUACAACAGGCUUGCAAGGGAUCGGUCCGAGGAGACACAUAGCUCUUCUGUGCCUCUUCAGCCCUAGAUGCACAGUUCCUGCAAAUACAGCUGCAGGAUCCAUUUUGCACUGCUUGAUCUGAUGCUGAACCCUCCCAAACGGGCUCCAAGCAUCCCAGCCAAGUCCCGCUACGAGCACAGCGCCCUCGGCGACCUCGCCUGCCUCAG